This 483-nucleotide ribosomal RNA is filed under the name uncultured bacterium. RNAcentral's name for it is "partial 16S ribosomal RNA". It matches the Rfam family "Bacterial small subunit ribosomal RNA", at positions 30 to 507 of the family's 1533-position model. The record is from RNAcentral.
UUGCACGCUGGCGGCAGGCCUAACACAUGCAAGUCGAGCGGAUGAAGGGAGCUUGCUCCUGGAUUCAGCGGCGGACGGGUGAGUAAUGCCUAGGAAUCUGCCUGGUAGUGGGGGAUAACGUCCGGAAACGGGCGCUAAUACCGCAUACGUCCUGAGGGAGAAAGUGGGGGAUCUUCGGACCUCACGCUAUCAGAUGAGCCUAGGUCGGAUUAGCUAGUUGGUGGGGUAAAGGCCUACCAAGGCGACGAUCCGUAACUGGUCUGAGAGGAUGAUCAGUCACACUGGAACUGAGACACGGUCCAGACUCCUACGGGAGGCAGCAGUGGGGUAUAUUGGACAAUGGGCGAAAGCCUGAUCCAGCCAUGCCGCGUGUGUGAAGAAGGUCUUCGGAUUGUAAAGCACUUUAAGUUGGGAGGAAGGGCAGUAAGUUAAUACCUUGCUGUUUUGACGUUACCAACAGAAUAAGCACCGGCUAACUUCGUG